Molecule: ribosomal RNA, 460 nt
Filed under: uncultured bacterium
Lineage: Bacteria
Description: partial 16S ribosomal RNA
Rfam family: Bacterial small subunit ribosomal RNA
Source: RNAcentral
CCUACGGGCGGCAGCAGUGAGGAAUAUUGGUCAAUGGGCGCACGCCUGAACCAGCCAAGUCGCGUGAGGGAAGACUGCCCUAUGGGUUGUAAACCUCUUUUGUCAGGGAGCAAUUGGCGCUACGUGUAGCGUUAUCGAGAGUACCUGAAGAAAAAGCAUCGGCUAACUCCGUGCCAGCAGCCGCGGUAAUACGGAGGAUGGGAGCGUUAUCCGGAUUUAUUGGGUUUAAAGGGUGCGUAGGCGGAAUGCCAAGUCAGCGGGAAAAUCGCGGGGCUCAACCUCGCUCCGCCGUUGAAACUGGCGUUCUUGAGUGGGCGAGAAGCAUGCGGAAUGCGUGGUGUAGCGGUGAAAUGCAUAGAUAUCACGCAGAACUCCGAUUGCGAAGGCAGCAUACCGGCGCCCAACUGACGCUGAAGCACGAAAGCGUGGGUAUCGAACAGGAUUAGAUACCCUGGUAGUC